GUUUGAUCCUGGCUCAGGAUGAACGCUAGCGGUCGGCCUAACACAUGCAAGUCGAGCGGCAGCAUGAGGUAGCAAUACUUUCAUGGCGAGCGGCGCACGGGUGCGUAACGCGUAGACAACUUACCCAUAGCAGGGGAAUAGCCCGGCGAAAGCUGGAUUAAUACCCCAGAUAUCACAGAAUGGCAUCAUUUUGUGAUUAAAGCUCCGGUGGCUAUGGAUGGGUCUGCGUCCUAUUAGCUAGUUGGUAAGGUAACGGCUUACCAAGGCUACGAUAGGUAGGGGGUCUGAAAGGAUGAUCCUCCACACUGGCACUGAGACACGGGCCAGACUCCUACGGGAGGCAGCAGUGAGGAAUAUUGCGCAAUGGGCGAAAGCCUGACGCAGCCAGACCGCGUGUAGGAAGACAGCCGUAAGGUUGUAAACUACUUUUGUUUGGGAGGAAAAGUAGGGACGUGUCCCUAUCUGACAGUACCAAAAGAAUAAGCACCGGCUAACUCCGUGCCAGCAGCCGCGGUAAUACGGAGGGUGUAGGCGUUAUCCGGAUUUACUAGGUUUAAAGGGUCUGUAGGCGGUUAUAUAAGUCAGUGGUGAAAUGUCUGAGCUCAACUCGGACACUGCCAUUGACACUGUAUAACUUGAGUUCGGUUGCUGUUGGCGGAAUGUAUCAUGUAGCGGUGAAAUGCAUAGAUAUGAUACAGAACACCGAUUGCGAAGGCAGCUAACAAAGCCGUUACUGACGCUGAUAGACGAAAGCGUGGGGAGCGAACAGGAUUAGAUACCCUGGUAGUCCACGCCGUAAACGAUGAUUACUCGUUGCUGGUGAUACACAAUCAGUGACUGAGCGAAAGCAUUAAGUAAUCCACCUGGGGAGUACGUUCGCAAGAAUGAAACUCAAAGGAAUUGACGGGGGCCCGCACAAGCGGAGGAACAUGUGGUUUAAUUCGAUGAUACGCGAGGAACCUUACCUGGGCUUAAAUGAUAGGCGCCUUCGGGCGUAGUCCUUCGAAAGAAGGCUUAAACUUUCAAGGUGCUGCAUGGUUGUCGUCAGCUCGUGCCGUGAGGUGUCGGGUUAAGUCCCAUAACGAGCGCAACCCCUAUUCUUAGUUGCCAUCAGGUCAAGCUGGGCACUCUAAGGAAACUGCCAUCGUAAGAUGUGAGGAAGGUGGGGAUGACGUCAAAUCAGCACGGCCCUUAUGUCCAGGGCUACACACGUGUUACAAUGGUCGGAACAAAAGGUUGCCACCUAGUGAUAGGGAGCUAAUCCUCAAAACCGGCCUCAGUUCGGAUUGGAGUCUGCAAUUCGACUCCAUGAAGCAGGAUUCGCUAGUAACCGCGUAUCAGCAACGACGCGGUGAAUACGUUCCCGGGCCUUGUACACACCGCCCGUCAAGCCAUGGAAGCUGGGUGCACCUGAAGUUCGUAACCGCAAGGAGCGACCUAAGGUGAAACUAGUGACUGGGGCUAAGG
This 1467-nucleotide ribosomal RNA is filed under the name metagenome. RNAcentral's name for it is "bacterial SSU rRNA". It matches the Rfam family "Bacterial small subunit ribosomal RNA". The record is from RNAcentral.